This is a long non-coding RNA of Dromaius novaehollandiae (emu), 4396 nucleotides long. RefSeq lists it as uncharacterized. NCBI's taxonomy places the organism in Eukaryota, Metazoa, Chordata, Aves, Casuariiformes, Dromaiidae. The transcript is spliced from 2 exons. The record is from RefSeq and is a predicted model, not a curated record.
AUGCCAGCAGCUCCAUGGGGUUUUUACACCUAGUACAAGGAGAAUCAUAAAUCUCCAGAGUAGUCCUUUGGUGAGUAUCAUUAACCGUAUUUAUUAGUAACAGUAGCUCUUAGGCAGCAGACCAGAAUGGGAUCCCAUCUCUGUCAAGACUGCACAGGAAUCAAUGAGAAUGGAAGGCUAGAACUCUUCGGUGAAUGGAAAGCUAACAUUAAUGACGGUGUCUUCCAACAUCAGAUUACGAAAAGAAGUGCUGCUCUGUAUCGGACUCCUUAAAGAAGCUGGAGGCUCUGAACAGGCACCUUGCCACUUGGAAGUCCUUCACAUACAUGCGUCUUCCCUACUGGAAGGAAGGGCAACUGAGAACAGGAGCAAGUGCCUCAUACUAUGCUUCAUUGCUGUAGCAAGCAUCCUGCUUCCUGCGCCUGCACAGAGGAUAGAGGUGCGUGCCCAAGAGGCAGUCUCCCUCCUGCCAUGGGGCAGCAGCACAGAGGCUACAAGAAUCGCAGCAUACACCAGGAUGUGAGCAUGACUAGAGCUGCUUUAGCCCAAGAAAAAAAUUCAUCAACCAUCUGAUGAACUAGGAGAGAGCUCCUCAGGUUGCUCUGCUAAGUUGGAAACGACACUAUCAGGGAUCCUAACUCAUCUCUGGAUCUUCCUUGUGUUCACUCUGAUUCCAGGUCACCAGUUUUGGGGUCUCCAGGGUUAUGAUGGGUUCUGUGGGUCUGUUUCAAGGUGUCUGUGACUUCUCUCAUUAUCCCUGUGGCUUCUUCAGUAACUCCGAGGCAGUUAUAACAUCUCUGGAUUGUUCCUAUGAUCUCUGGAGCUUCUCUGGGGUCUCCAGAGCUACCCCGGGCUCUGUGGAGCAGCCUGCUCCCACACAGCAAUGCCUUCACAGACAUGGCAGCAUCUGCACCAGCCCCAAGCAGAGACAGAGACUUCUAGGUCCAUGACAGGUGGAAAAGACCUCAUACUUGUGCUGGACCUGGUGGUGGCCGUGCCACUACACCCAGGUCCUGAGAUGCAGCAGCACAAUGGGUAGCAGUAACAGCCCUGCACAGCCACAGCAAAAAGGCAGACUUCCUGGCAACCGGUUCUGCAGAUUUUCAGUCAAGGCAGGUUUAAGCCUUGCCUUAUAGCGGCAUGAUGGGAAAGACAACUGCCGGAAUGAGGGCUCCUUGGUCAGGACAUGGCAUCACAAAGGAGAGCAGGAUAUGGCGAGGAUCAGUGACUAUCUUAGACCCAUCUGAUAGAAAGGGACACUGCAUUCUGAGGCCAGAUAAGGUCAGCUGGGAUCACAUGCAAUGGCUUACUAUACAGAGAAAAACCUGAACAUUUUUCAUUCCUAGCAGGAAGGAGAACAGGGACAGACAAAGAGGGACUCUUUCCCUGGUGGCAGCUGCCUGAAGAAGAGGGGUGUGUGUGUGUGUGUGUGUGUGUGUGUGUGUCUCCUCUCUAUGUGGGCUGUUUUGGAAGGGUUUUGCAGACUAAAAACUAGAACAGAUCUUCACUUUAAGUAUUGGGGUGCUUUGUGUCAGGGAGCAGCAAGGGCUGUUUUUAAAGGGAAGAGGAACUCAGAGCUGAGGGUGACUCCUAAACAAGCAAUGCCCUUACCAAACAGGAUGCAGUCCCACAGCAUUUCAAUACGGCAGGCAGAACAGGGCCCUGAAAACAAGAUGAACCAGGUCCAGGAUUGCUCAAGAAGUCCAGCCAGGAACAAAAGGAAAUGGACCAGAGAUAAGACUGGAGACAAGCUACAAUGUACAGCUGAGGGGUCCAUCCAGGAAACAAGCUACCUACAACAUAGGUCUGAGAUCCAGCCAGGAGGUAAGGCCAGAGGCAGAACUGGAGAUAGCUACACCUGUAAUAUGGCUCAGGCAAGGUUUAAAGGCUCGGGCCUGAGCUUAAUGGAACUCCUGGGCAGAAGUGUGGCUGUUUUUUCCUCUGCUGCACGUGUGACCUUUGUAAUUUGGUUUGCAGCAGUGCCAGAGCAAUCAUGGCUCCCUGCAAUAUCCUGUGCCAAAAGUAAGAGCAAGAAAAGCUACAUCGUGAGGUACGUUCUAGAAUAAAGAACAUCCGAGUAUUGUUCUCCUUGCUGUCUCAGGUGUCCUGACUGGGCAGAACAAGUAGUAGAAGGUCAUGCAAGCAGAUCAAGCAAGGAUGAGCAGCUACAGGCAGGAGAGGCAGUGGAGCUCUGGUGGUUGGGACAUCAGACCACAUCUACAGAUCGAGAUGUGGAUUGUUUACAUCAUAUCAAAGCACUUACAGCAGCGAAGGUUUGGGGCACAGUGGCAGACACCACGGGCUCUACUUACUGUUGCUGGUUCCUGCUUAUGUCAAAGGUUGUGCAUGUGGGGAGCGCCUCUGUUAGCCUUCUGGUCCCCUGACAGAGCCCUCCAUUGGCCAUUCAUUGUCUCCCAGCCCAUGCCCUUUGCUGGCCUUCCGCAGUACCUGUAAGAAGUCCCUCUGCAGGAUGAAGCCUCGUAGUAGUUCGGCCAUUAAAAGGGACUCAGGCAAAUGUUUAAAACCAUCCUGUGCUCACGGCUGCCCUCAUGAAGACAGCAGAGGGGCCGUCUCAGAGGGAGAAGUGCCUUUAACAUGGCUCCCUGCGCUGCUGCACCUCUGACUGAGGCACAAAGGACAUUAGGACACACAGCAACUUUAUUACCCACAAAGAAACCCCCACACAUCACGGAGACACCUCCCCCCACCAGAUCUGACAGGCCCACUGGCUCCAGUGCCUCCCAAUGGGAUGUCCCUCCAGGUCUGACUGCAGGAGGGAUGGAGUCAGAAGGAAGAGGGAUGGAGAGUUGGACAGAGGGAUGGAGACAGGAAAGGAGGGACAGCGACUCAGACGGAGAGUGAGACAGAAGGAUGGAGAGAGGGAAAGGGGGAUGGAAAGCAGAAGAGAGGUGCAGAGUGGAAAAGAGGGAUGAGGUCAGGAAAAGCAGGAUGGAGAGGCAGACAGAAGGAUGGAGAGAGGAAAAGAGGCAUGUAGGGAAGAAAAGAGGUUGGUGGUUUGAGCAAGGCCACCUAUGAUGCACAGUUACACUGUUCUCCUGAAAAAUCACUAUGUGCCUGGCCACAAAACCAGUUUAUUCCAGUGACACUGCUGAGCCCGAGAGCCCUUGCUGUGCAGAUGGAGAAACUAAUCAUGCUAGUAUGUCUGCAACCUUUUAGGUGUUUUCAUUAUAACAGGCUGUUUUCCGAGUGGAAAGGCACUUUUGGACUCUUGGUCACAUGCACUGUGCGCGAGAUCCAGCUCCGUCCCCGCUCCAUUCUCUGCUACCACAUCUGUGUGGCUCAGGAGGUGCUUCGCCCCAUUCUGCGAGUGGCUUGUGCAGUGCUCGGGAGCCACUUCUCUGCCCUGCUCCUGCUCCGCUCGGGGCUGGUGCAUGCACGAUGCUCAGGAGCAGCAUGACGGCCACCUGGGUGGGAGUUUGCCUUCGGCAGCAGCGGAUGACGUCGGGACUGCCUGGCCCAGGGGCUUCAGUGAGGUGAGCACAUCCCUUCAAUGGCCGUGGGCAUCAGGAUGUCUUCUGCCUGCCGUGGCCACCACUGUGUGACAUGGGGGUCCCCCAAAGAUCUUUGGGAUAUGGAGUCCCUAAAAUUAGCAUCAACCCUGAUGCAUCCUCUGUGGUCCCCCAUGGCUCCUUCUGCAACACAGCAGCUACAUGCAGCACCCAAAGUACCGGCACCCAUAUGCAUUCAGCUCUCCUCUGACAUAGAACUCCCCUACCCUGACUCCCUGCCUGCAAUCACCCCACUUCUCCCCGAAAACCUUCCUUGCAAAAUCCUCCCCCCCCCGCCAACACACACCCUGAGGGCCCUGCAAAAACUCCUCCCCAAACCAGCCCCUAAACCAUGUACAAAUCCUGCCCCAAAGCCCCCCAAGAACCUCCAAACUCUGCCCCAACACUGUCAUCAACUCCAGAAACUCCCCCCCAAGUCUGUCCCAAAACUUCAAACAACCACAGUACCACCCCCCAAAUCCUAACAGCAGCAAGGAAGCCCUUCAAUACCUUUUAUUGUCAGUUAACACAGAUGUCAUUAGAAUCAAUUAGAAACAGUGAGGCUGAACUGGACAGCCCCACAAUCUGCUUGGCAUCAUCAUUCCUGGAUGCUAAUGUGGUUCCUCCUGGCCUCAUGCUGCACUGGGAUCCUCCUUGUCACCUGCAAUGGGACUGCAGCAAUCCCAAAGACCCAAAAUAUCACCAAGCCCUGUCCAAGGGCCCCCAUACCUUGUCCUAAAGCUCCCACUAACCUGACCUGACCUGUUUUGUGUGAGUAGUUAUUCACAGUACGUAACAGCAGCUUGAUUUUAUUAAUAAUAACAGAUUAAUUUAUAAAAGAUGUUCUAAUAAAGAUGGGGGUGAUCUGUGUCUCCCCCUUGACUCAG